GGGAGGUGCAGAUUUGCACGGCUGGCCUCAGCGGGAGGCGCGGAAAUGCAAGCCGAGCUUGCUGGCUAGAAAGCCCCCGAGGCCUGGCACCCCCCAAAACGACCCCCCACCUCAAUUUCUGCCCCCAUUGCCCACGGCCCCCACGGGCCACCCCUCUUCCUCUUCCUUCAUCCACCCCACCCCAUUACCUACGUGGCCGACCCAAAUUCAAAGAGCUUUGUAUAUAUAAUUGUUUUUUCUGCUGCAUGUCUUGUUUUUUUUUUGGGGGGGGGGUGCCGGGGGUGGCGAUCCUCUCCAGACCCCCAUAUGCGGACCUGCCAUGUGGAGGAGGCAUUUGGGGGCUCAGGAAGAAAUUAGCGCAGCUCCAUACCUGUACGGACUGCAUAACUUUUAAACUCCCGGACUCAAAGAUACGGACCCACACACACGCAGGUACAGGAAAUAACAGCCAGACCAGAGCCUUUUCAGACCCGAGCUGACCGGAAGACGUUGCAUUUCAUUCAUUCAUCCUGCCCGCGUCUGUGGAGUCCUUUACUAGGCGACGAGCCCUGGAACACAAGUUGGACAGUUUUUAAAGGUCCCUGCGCUCGCCAAGAGAAGGAAAUAGAUGCUCAGGAGUGAAAUACCGAGAGAAUCGGAUCUGGCGCCUCCUAACGCAGCUGGCAAGCAGGCGAAGGUCCCGUGUAGAUUGAAGUAUCAGGGCAGCUUACAUACAGCCUGAGCGUCUGGCUUUGGGCAUUUGGGGAAGACUUUGCGAGAGUUCUACAUCUCCCUGAGCGAGGAUCUGAAGGAAACUUGGAAAUAACAGGUGAGUUAAUUAAGGGGUUAACUCCAGGAGGCGAGUCCUAAAAGUUCAAAGAUACUUUCAAAACUUGCAUCUUUGGAUUGAUGGACAAGUGUAUUAACCAAUGGAAAUCAAACUCCAAGCAUUACUUCAUCAUGCUAAAUUGUCAUUGGUUGCCAAUCCCUGAGGGCCUGACAGCCCGGCUGGCAGUUAACCCUUUCAGGGACGAUCUUGCCCUUAACAUCAAUUUUAUUUUGAAAGAUGAAGUAGGGACGGGUGAAAAGCCUAGAAAGAUUCCCCGGAACUUCAAGUGUCCGUUUUGGAUCUCAGCCCAGCAGGUAGAGUUUCGGCCCACAAAGGAACACCCUGGGACAAAUUUCCUGGAGAAAAGUUUUGAACUUUUAAAAUUGGGAAUCAGCUGACCUUGCUUAGUGGGAGGAGAAGGGAAGGGAGAAGUCUGAUUCACUUUUUGUGCUGUCAGAACAGCGACCAGUGUUGGAGCCAAUUCCAUUAAUCUUGCAGAGCAAUCAGUCACUGAGAGGAUUGAAUUGCAUUUCCUGCCCCAAAGAUGUAGAGACCGAUGACCUUUGCAGCAGCCCUCAGACCCCCCAGUUCACAGCUGGAGAGAGGAUGUGUCAGCAUUUACUUUCGGGUCUCACCCUGCCCUUUGUUCAAAACUCAAACUCUUUGUGCUCAGGCUGCUGCAGGGGUUUUUGUAGUUGUUGAUUUUGCCAAUUUUUUUUUUUUAAACCUCCCACGUCUUGGAACUUCUGAGAAUCAAACUCUCUAUUUAGCAGAAGAUAAUAUCUGGAGGUGCCCCCAGAGAGGGAACCAGAAUAGACACAGGGGAAUUUUAAGAGAGGCCAUUGGGCCUUUUGGCUUUCAUUACUGCCCCUUCCUGGGCUCCCUGAAUGCUGCAGGCUGAACUGGAUGGAGCCAGAAGCCCUGCAAGAGGACUAAAAAGCCUUGUGUGGACAUGGGUCUGUUACAGAAAAAACCUUUUACACGCGUUACCUCGGGUAAAAAGGAACUGCUAGAACAAGAGCAUUUACAUAAAGGAACAUUCUAAAUUCCCAAAUCCAGUGAGCUAUAUGACCUCACACAAGCUAUAUGACCCCUGAGGCCCAAACUGAGCCUCAGUUAUCCCAUCUGUAAAAUGGGGGUCAUAAUAUCAAACGUAUAAGAGCUACAGGAGGAUUGAAUGAACCAGUGUUCUGUAACAGGGUGGUGGUCAUGGCGUGUGUCUUCAUUAAAAUGAAGUCGACCUUCUCUCCCCAACAAGGCUUCAAAGUCUGAUCGCACUCAACUGUUUUGGGUUCUUUGAAUAGAGCUGCUUUCUCUCCUCCAGACCUUUGCAUUUGCUGAUCUGUGCACCAGGAGUUGUCUCUCCUGCCAGCCGUCCUCUCCAUAGCUCUUACUUAUCCUCUUGGAACCAGCUUUGAUAUCUUCUCUUUCCUGUCCCCCUCAUAAUACUUAUCACAUUUUCUUAGUGUUGCCUAUGCUGUCAGCACACUGGGAACCCUGGGGCUGUAGGGCCCCUGUCUGCCUCAUGCAUGGACGUAUCUCCUGCCUAGCACAGUGCCAACACCUACUCUGAAAGUACAUAUCUAAGCGUACCUGGGCUGGCUCAGUCAGUAGAGCAUGCAACUCUUGGUCUUGGGGUGGUGAGUUCAAGCCCUAUGUUGGGUGUGGAGCCUACUUAAAAAAAAGAAAAAAAAAGUACCUGUCUAAUGGAAGUCCAGCACCCCUACUGUGCCUCCCUUAGUCCCCAAAUUUCUCACCCUUCCAGAAAUCUAGGAGUAACAGUACUGAGAUUUUUCUCUUGUCCUGGUUAGCCAUAUUACAACAUCCUUUGCAAAUGGAGUCAGUGGCUUUUUAACUUGCUUUGAAAUGCACUUCAUUAAUUCACCAAUUACUUAUUGAGUGCCUCCUAGAUUCCUACACAGAGCAGCCUUUGUAGGAAAGCCUGCUCUUCACCCUAUAGCACCUAUUCAUGGCACAGAGCAGGCCUUUCACCCUGGUGAGGCCAGGAUGCUCUGAAAUGGAAUGGGCAGUUGGCUCUUACCCCAACCCAAAGAGAGGGAUCUCAGAGACCACCCCUUGCAAAUUGAGAGCAGGUAAGUUUGCCCAGCUUACCCUAGCACAAAGCUCUUAGCAUUCAGAAUACUUGUCAUAAUUAUAAUAAAAUACUCAUGUGUGAACAGUC
Molecule: long non-coding RNA, 2990 nt
Organism: Herpailurus yagouaroundi (jaguarundi)
Lineage: Eukaryota; Metazoa; Chordata; Mammalia; Carnivora; Felidae
Exons: 2
Source: RefSeq, a predicted model, not a curated record